RNAcentral lists this transfer RNA (72 nucleotides) under Ovis aries (sheep). It matches the Rfam family "tRNA". From Rfam's summary of the family: Transfer RNA (tRNA) molecules are approximately 80 nucleotides in length. Their secondary structure includes four short double-helical elements and three loops (D, anti-codon, and T loops). Lineage: Eukaryota; Metazoa; Chordata; Mammalia; Artiodactyla; Bovidae. The record is from Rfam by way of RNAcentral.
UCCCUGGUGGCUCAGAGGGUAAAGCGUCUGCCUACAAUGCAGGAGACUUGGGUUCAGUUCCUGGGUCGGGAA